RNAcentral lists this long non-coding RNA (433 nucleotides) under Coffea arabica (coffee). RNAcentral's name for it is "long non-coding RNA (CARA_LNC001733)". The record is from RNAcentral. Lineage: Eukaryota; Viridiplantae; Streptophyta; Magnoliopsida; Gentianales; Rubiaceae.
UGGACAUAAAAAUAUAUCAUAGGGAAAAUCCUAAUGACAAACAUAAACAUAAAACAUAGUUCUCUUCAAAUGAACAUAGGUAACGUAGCUGCACUUAAGACAUUGGUGCUGACAUGGUACAAACACGAGCUCUUGCUACUAAUUAAAGAAAGCUCAGUACACAAGAACACCAAUAGCAUAUACAAUUAUAGAGAAGCCAAAGCAACAUUAGAAUAGGAUGGCAUUGGAAAGCCAAAACCAGCAGCCAUUGAUGGCGAAGGGGCAAUGCUGCUUUCUUCAUCCAAGGUACCAUAGGCAGUAGCACUCGGUGCAUAAACCACUAAUGCCAACACAAGGGCUGCUGCAGCUGCAUGGUAACAAGCCUUCAUGGAAGCCACCGAGAUGAUAUGGCGAAAUUCUCUGCUAAUUAUAUCUUCCAAGAAGUGAAGACAAG